RNAcentral lists this ribosomal RNA (727 nucleotides) under uncultured bacterium. Its description in RNAcentral is "bacterial SSU rRNA". It matches the Rfam family "Bacterial small subunit ribosomal RNA", at positions 29 to 748 of the family's 1533-position model. The record is from RNAcentral.
UUGAACGCUGGCGGCAGGCUUAACACAUGCAAGUCGAGCGGAAACGAAGGUAGCUUGCUACCAGGCGUCGAGCGGCGGACGGGUGAGUAAUGCUUAGGAAUCUACCGAGUAGUGGGGGAUAGCCAUUGGAAACGAUGAUUAAUACCGCAUAUAUCCUACGGGGGAAAGCAGGGGACCUUCGGGCCUUGCGCUAUUCGAUGAGCCUGAGUGAGAUUAGCUAGUUGGUGGGGUAAAGGCCUACCAAGGCGACGAUCUCUAGCUGGUCUGAGAGGAUGAUCAGCCACACUGGGACUGAGACACGGCCCAGACUCCUACGGGAGGCAGCAGUGGGGAAUAUUGCACAAUGGACGAAAGUCUGAUGCAGCCAUGCCGCGUGUGUGAAGAAGGCCUUCGGGUUGUAAAGCACUUUCAGCGAGGAGGAAAGGUCAGUAAGUAAUAUUUGCUGGCUGUGACGUUACUCGCAGAAGAAGCACCGGCUAAUUUAGUGCCAGCAGCCGCGGUAAUACUAAAGGUGCAAGCGUUAAUCGGAAUUACUGGGCGUAAAGCGCGCGUAGGUGGUUUGUUAAGUUGGAUGUGAAAGCCCAGGGCUCAACCUUGGAACUGCAUUCAAAACUGACUCACUAGAGUACGAGAGAGGUUAGUGGAAUUUCCUGUGUAGCGGUGAAAUGCGUAGAGAUGGGAAGGAACACAGUGGCGAAGGCGACUGACUGGCUCGAUACUGACACUG